GUGGUGCAGAAGAAAUCAGAGUAUCAAGAGUCUCCUCCGGUCUCAAGAUCCUUAAGGUUUUGUCUGGCCAUGACAAGUUUCAUGAGAUCUAUGUUCUCGACAGAGAGGUUAUAAUGAUAGCUGGAGCAUCUAGAUAUCUCGAGCCUUUUCAAUUUC
This is a long non-coding RNA of Coffea eugenioides, 156 nucleotides long. RefSeq lists it as uncharacterized. The record is from RefSeq and is a predicted model, not a curated record. The transcript has 3 exons. Lineage: Eukaryota; Viridiplantae; Streptophyta; Magnoliopsida; Gentianales; Rubiaceae.